Molecule: ribosomal RNA, 219 nt
Filed under: uncultured bacterium
Lineage: Bacteria
Description: partial 16S ribosomal RNA
Rfam family: Bacterial small subunit ribosomal RNA
Source: RNAcentral
UACGAAGGGGGCUAGCGUUGCUCGGAAUCACUGGGCGUAAAGCGCACGUAGGCGGAUCUUUAAGUCAGGGGUGAAAUCCUGGAGCUCAACUCCAGAACUGCCUUUGAUACUGGGGAUCUCGAGUCCGGAAGAGGUAAGUGGAACUCCGAGUGUAGAGGUGAAAAUUCGUAGAUAUUAGGAAGAACACCAGUGGCGAAGGCGGCCCACUGGAUCGGUACU